CAGAGCCACGGUAAUACAGAGGGUGCGAGCGUUAAUCGGAUUUACUGGGCGUAAAGCGUGCGUAGGCGGCUUUUUAAGUCGGAUGUGAAAUCCCUGAGCUUAACUUAGGAAUUGCAUUCGAUACUGGGAAGCUAGAGUAUGGGAGAGGAUGGUAGAAUUCCAGGUGUAGCGGUGAAAUGCGUAGAGAUCUGGAGGAAUACCGAUGGCGAAGGCAGCCAUCUGGCCUAAUACUGACGCUGAGGUACGAAAGCAUGGGGAGCAAACAGGAUUAGAUACCCCUGUAGUCCCUGUCUCUUAUACA
RNAcentral lists this ribosomal RNA (301 nucleotides) under uncultured bacterium. Its description in RNAcentral is "partial 16S ribosomal RNA". It matches the Rfam family "Bacterial small subunit ribosomal RNA", at positions 509 to 808 of the family's 1533-position model. The record is from RNAcentral.